AUGUACAGCAAGGAUAUUUCCAAGAAAGUCCAUUCCUCUUAUCUUCUGUAGCGCGAUGGAGGGACGCAGGAAGAUAGGCGGGCCGGGUGUUGGAUAUCCCGGUGCAAGCGUGUAGGAAUAUCCGGUAGGCAAAUCCGCCGGACGAAUCUGAGACGCGAGUCCGUGGGCGCAAGCCCUGAAGCCGUUGAGUCUAUGCUGCCUAGAAAAGCUUCUAAGUAUAGGACACGCAAACCGUACCGGAAACCAACUCAGGUGGGUGGGAUGAAUAAUCCAAGGCGCUCGAGAGAACUCUGGCCAAGGAACUCGGCAAAAUAACCCCGUACCUUCGGAAGAAGGGGUGCUUUUUAGGGUGAAGCGAUUCACUCUGUCGAGCCCUGAAAAGCCGCAGAGAAAUGGUGGUGGCGACUGUUUACUAAAAACAUAGGUCUGUGCCAAGUCGUAUAGACGACGUAUACGGACUGACGCCUGCCCGGUGCUGGAAGGUUAAAAGGAGGAGUCAGCGCAAGCGAAGCUCCGAAUUGAAGCCCCAGUAAACGGCGGCCGUAACUAUAACGGUCCUAAGGUAGCGAAAUUCCUUGUCGGGUAAGUUCCGACCUGCACGAAUGGCGUAACGAUCUCCACACUGUCUCGGCCAGAGACUCGGUGAAAUUGAAGUCGCGGUGAAAAUGCCGUGUACCCGCAGAAAGACGGAAAGACCCUGUGCACCUUUACUAUAGCUUGACAUUGGAUUUUGGGCCUGCAUGUGUAGGAUAGGUGGGAGGCUGUGAACCCUGUACGCCAGUAUGGGGGGAGCCAUCCUUGAAAUACCACCCUUGCAUGUUUAAGAUCCUAACUUCUUCCGGUUAUCCCGGAGAAAGACAGUGUCUGGCGGGUAGUUUGACUGGGGCGGUCGCCUCCUAAAGUGUAACGGAGGCAUGCAAAGGUUCCCUCAGCCUGAUCGGAAACCAGGCGCUGAGUGCAAACGCAUAAGGGAGCUUGACUGUAAGAGAGACAUCUCGAACAGGAACGAAAGUUGGCGUUAGUGAUCCGGUGGUCCCGUAUGGAAGGGCCAUCGCUCAUUGGAUAAAAGGUACGCCGGGGAUAACAGGCUGAUCGCAUCCAAGAGUUCACAUCGACGAUGCGGUUUGGCACCUCGAUGUCGGCUCAUCACAUCCUGGGGCUGAAGCAGGUCCCAAGGGUACGGCUGUUCGCCGUUUAAAGUGGUACGCGAGCUGGGUUUAAAACGUCGUGAGACAGUUUGGUCCCUAUCUUCUGUGGGCGUAGGAGAAUUGAAAGGGCCUGUCCCUAGUACGAGAGGACCGGGAUGGACACACCACUGGUGGACCUGUUGUCGUGCCAACGGCACAGCAGGGUAGCUAUGUGUGGAAGGGAUAACCGCUGAAAGCAUCUAAGCGGGAAGCCUGCCUCAAGAUAAGUUCUCCCCUCGAAAGAGCUGAAGGGCCCGGGUAGACUACCCGGUCGAUAGGCUGGAGGUGUAAGCGCGGCGACGUGCUCAGCUGACCAGUACUAAUAGCCCGAGCGGCUUAUUUUU
Molecule: ribosomal RNA, 1531 nt
Filed under: metagenome
Description: bacterial LSU rRNA
Rfam family: Bacterial large subunit ribosomal RNA
Source: RNAcentral